AGGUAAGCUAUUAAGAGCGAAUGGUGGAUGCCUUGGCUGGUAAAGGCGAUGAAGGACGUACUAGACUGCGAUAAGCUACGGGGAGCUGUCAAGAAGCUUUGAUCCGUAGAUUUCCGAAUGGGGCAACCCAGUAUAUAGAGAUAUAUACUACCAUAAUGGAGCGAACGUAGGGAAUUGAAACAUCUUAGUACCUACAGGAAAAGAAAUCAAUAGAGAUUGCGUCAGUAGCGGCGAGCGAAAGCGCAAGAGGGCAAACCCAGUGCUUGCACUGGGGGUUGUAGGACUGCAAUGUGCAAUAGGUAAGGUUAGUAGAACACUCUGGAAAGUGUAGCCAUAGAGGGUGAUAGUCCCGUAUACGAAAACCAAACCUUAGCUAGCAGUAUCCUGAGUAGGGCGGGACACGAGGAAUCCUGUCUGAAGCUGGGUCGACCACGAUCCAACCCUAAAUACUACUACCAGACCGAUAGUGCACAAGUACCGUGAGGGAAAGGUGAAAAGAACUGAGGUGAUCAGAGUGAAAUAGAACCUGAAACCAUUUGCUUACAAUCAUUCAGAGCACUAUGUAGCAAUACAGUGUGAUGGACUGCCUUUUGCAUAAUGAGCCUGCGAGUUGUGGUGUCUGGCAAGGUUAAGCACACGCGAAGCCGUAGCGAAAGCGAGUCUGAAUAGGGCGCUUAAGUCAGAUGCUGCAGACCCGAAACGAAGUGAUCUAUCCAUGAGCAAGUUGAAGCUAGUGUAAGAACUAGUGGAGGACUGAACCGAUAGGCGUUGAAAAGCCCCCGGAUGACUUGUGGAUAGGGGUGAAAGGCCAAUCAAACUUCGUGAUAGCUGGUUCUCUCCGAAAUAUAUUUAGGUAUAGCGUUGUGUCGUAGUAUAAGGGGGUAGAGCACUGAAUGGGCUAGGGCAUACACCAAUGUACCAAACCCUAUCAAACUCCGAAUACCUUAUAUGUAAUCACAGCAGUCAGGCGGCGAGUGAUAAAAUCCGUCGUCAAGAGGGAAACAACCCAGACUACCAGCUAAGGUCCCUAAAUCUUACUUAAGUGGAAAACGAUGUGAAGUUACUUAAACAACCAGGAGGUUGGCUUAGAAGCAGCCAUCCUUUAAAGAAAGCGUAAUAGCUCACUGGUCUAGUGAUUUUGCGCGGAAAAUAUAACGGGGCUAAAGUAAGUACCGAAGCUGUAGACUUGAUUUUAUCAAGUGGUAGGAGAGCGUUCUAUUUGCGCCGAAGGUAUACCGGUAAGGAGUGCUGGAGCGAAUAGAAGUGAGCAUGCAGGCAUGAGUAGCGAUAAUUAAUGUGAGAAUCAUUAACGCCGUAAACCCAAGGUUUCCUACGCGAUGCUCGUCAUCGUAGGGUUAGUCGGGUCCUAAGUCGAGUCCGAAAGGGGUAGACGAUGGCAAAUUGGUUAAUAUUCCAAUACCAACAUUAGUGUGCGAUGGAAGGACGCUUAGGGCUAAGCAAGCUAGCGGAUGGAAGUGCUAGUCUAAGGUCGUAGGAGGUUAUAUAGGCAAAUCCGUAUAACAAUACUCCGAGAACUGAAAGGCUCUUCAAAGUCUUCGGACAGCGAGGAGAAUUGCUGAUGCCGUCGAGCCAAGAAAAGUUUCUAAGUUUAGCUAAUGUUGCCCGUACCGUAAACCGACACAGGUGGGUGGGAUGAGUAUUCUAAGGCGCGUGGAAGAACUCUCUUUAAGGAACUCUGCAAAAUAGCACCGUAU
RNAcentral lists this ribosomal RNA (1715 nucleotides) under Campylobacter lari. RNAcentral describes it as "partial 23S ribosomal RNA". It matches the Rfam family "Bacterial large subunit ribosomal RNA", at positions 1 to 1733 of the family's 2925-position model. Lineage: Bacteria; Pseudomonadati; Campylobacterota; Epsilonproteobacteria; Campylobacterales; Campylobacteraceae. The record is from RNAcentral.